Non-coding RNA from Arvicola amphibius (Eurasian water vole), 648 nucleotides. NCBI's taxonomy places the organism in Eukaryota, Metazoa, Chordata, Mammalia, Rodentia, Cricetidae. The record is from the annotation of a RefSeq genome assembly.
AUGGGUUCAGAGGCCAGCCUCACAUGUACAGUGAGGGGCCUGAAAAAGGACGAGAUACCCGUUUUCACCUGGCAGCCCAGCACUGGGAAGGACGCAGUGACGAACAAACCUGUGCUGGACCCCUGCGGUUGCUACAGUGUGUCCAGCGUCCUGCCUGGCUGUGCUGAGCGCUGGAACAGUGGGGAGAAGUUCACGUGCACAGUUAAACUCCCCAGCCAGUCUGAACCCCUAACUGCCACAGUUGUCAAAGACAAAGAGCCCUUGCCACCCCAGGUCCACCUGCUGCCGCCGCCGUCGGAGGAGCUGGCCCUGAAUGAGCUGGUGUCCCUGACAUGCCUGGUGCGAGGAUUCAAACCUGAAGAUGUACUGGUGCGUUGGCUACAUGGAAACCAGGAGCUGUCUCAUGAAAACUACCUGGUGUGGAAACCCAAGAAGGAGCCAGGCGAGGGUCUCACCACCUUUGCAGUGACAAGUGUGCUGCGUGUGCCAGCUGAAGCAUGGAAACAGGGUGACAACUACUCCUGCAUGAUUGGCCACGAGGCUUCGCCCACGGGCUUCACCCAGAAGACCAUCGACCGUCACUCGGGUAAACCCACCCAAGUCAAUGUGACUGUGGUCACGUCAGAGGCAGAUGGAGUCUGCUACUGA